Molecule: ribosomal RNA, 424 nt
Filed under: Verrucomicrobiota bacterium
Lineage: Bacteria; Pseudomonadati; Verrucomicrobiota
Description: Verrucomicrobia bacterium partial 16S ribosomal RNA
Rfam family: Bacterial small subunit ribosomal RNA
Source: RNAcentral
UGAGGAAUAUUGGUCAAUGGGCGAGAGCCUGAACCAGCCAAGUAGCGUGCAGGAUGACGGCCCUAUGGGUUGUAAACUGCCUUUAUAUGGGAAUAAAGUGAGGGACGUGUCCCUUAUUGCAUGUACCAUACGAAUAAGGACCGGCUAAUUCCGUGCCAGCAGCCGCGGUAAUACGGAAGGUCCAGGCGUAAUCCGGAUUUAUUGGGUUUAAAGGGAGCGUAGGCUGUUUGUUAAGCGUGUUGUGAAAUGUAGGAGCUCAACUUUUAGAUUGCAGCGCGAACUGGCAGACUUGAGUGCGCACAACGUAGGCGGAAUUCAUGGUGUAGCGGUGAAAUGCUUAGAUAUCAUGACGAACUCCGAUUGCGAAGGCAGCUUACGGGAGCGCAACUGACGCUAAAGCUCGAAGGUGCGGGUAUCGAACAGG